GAUUUCUGGUACUGGCGCACUUGGCCCGCUUCGGUUACGAGGUCGAGUGCCGGUGUGCGCCUACCAUCCUUUCUAAAGAUCCCGCUUUGUUCCCUUUAAUGGGUUGAGGUGUGGUUUAAAAUCUUUAGAUCAUUUACUUUGAAAAAAUUAGAGUGUUUAAAGCAGGCUUUUGCUAUGAAUACAUUAGCAUGGAAUAAUAAUCUAGGACUUCGGUUCUAUUUUGUUGGUUUCUAUAACUGAAGUAAUGAUUGAUAGGGAUAGUUGGGGGUGCUAGUAUUGGCCGGCCAGAGGUGAAAUUCUUGGAUUCGGUCAAGACUAACUUAUGCGAAAGCAUU
Molecule: ribosomal RNA, 335 nt
Filed under: Rhogostoma sp.
Lineage: Eukaryota; Cercozoa; Thecofilosea; Cryomonadida; Rhogostomidae
Description: SSU rRNA
Rfam family: Eukaryotic small subunit ribosomal RNA
Source: RNAcentral